UACAGAGGUCUCAAGCGUUGUUCGGAUUCAUUGGGCGUAAAGGGCGCGUAGGUGGCCUGUGGAAGUCUGCGGUGAAAGCCCGGCGCUCAACGCCGGGUCGGCCGUGGAUACUCUCGGGCUCGAGCUUACUAGAGGCAGAUGGAAUUCCGGGUGUAGCGGUGGAAUGCGUAGAGAUCCGGAAGAACACCGGUGGCGAAGGCGGUCUGCUGGGGUAAUGCUGACACUGAUGCGCGACAGCGUGGGGAGCAAACAGG
This 254-nucleotide ribosomal RNA is filed under the name uncultured bacterium. Its description in RNAcentral is "partial 16S ribosomal RNA". It matches the Rfam family "Bacterial small subunit ribosomal RNA", at positions 524 to 776 of the family's 1533-position model. The record is from RNAcentral.